UACGGGGGGGGCAAGCGUUGUUCGGAAUUACUGGGCGUAAAGGGUUCGUAGGUGGCUUGCUAAGUCAGACGUGAAAUCCCUCAGCUUAACUGGGGAACUGCGUCUGAUACUGGCGAGCUUGAGUGCAGGAGAGGAACGCAGAAUUCCAGGUGUAGCGGUGAAAUGCGUAGAUAUCUGGAGGAAUACCGGUGGCGAAGGCGGCGUUCUGGACUGCAACUGACACUGAGGCACGAAAGCUAGGGGAGCAAACAGG
This 253-nucleotide ribosomal RNA is filed under the name uncultured bacterium. Its description in RNAcentral is "partial 16S ribosomal RNA". It matches the Rfam family "Bacterial small subunit ribosomal RNA", at positions 524 to 776 of the family's 1533-position model. The record is from RNAcentral.